This is a long non-coding RNA of Haplochromis burtoni (Burton's mouthbrooder), 261 nucleotides long. RefSeq lists it as uncharacterized. Lineage: Eukaryota; Metazoa; Chordata; Actinopteri; Cichliformes; Cichlidae. The transcript is spliced from 3 exons. The record is from RefSeq and is a predicted model, not a curated record.
GCAGAUGGAGCUACCACCCUGCUACAAAAACUGGAAGGGGGACCUGUGGACCCUUGUCUGGAGGCUCAGGUUUUUCCUUACGGCUUUCCCAAGUGGUUGAAUAAAACAAUUUCAUUCUUGCUCAAACCCGUGUUUCCUCGUGUUUCUGCCAGCUUUGGUGCUCUUUGUGGAGUUGGGUGAGAAAGUAUCCUUGAAAUUGUUCAUUUUUGUGCUUGAAUCUCAGUUUCUUUGUUACAUUUCCAUGUGCUAGGAAUUAUAUCC